CAAGUCGAGCGGAUGAAGGGAGCUUGCUUCCGGAUUCAGCGGCGGACGGGUGAGUAAUGCCUAGGAAUCUGCCUGGUAGUGGGGGACAACGUUCCGAAAGGAGCGCUAAUACCGCAUACGUCCUACGGGAGAAAGUGGGGGAUCUUCGGACCUCACGCUAUCAGAUGAGCCUAGGUCGGAUUAGCUAGUAGGUGGGGUAAUGGCUCACCUAGGCGACGAUCCGUAACUGGUCUGAGAGGAUGAUCAGUCACACUGGAACUGAGACACGGUCCAGACUCCUACGGGAGGCAGCAGUGGGGAAUAUUGGACAAUGGGCGAAAGCCUGAUCCAGCCAUGCCGCGUGUGUGAAGAAGGUCUUCGGAUUGUAAAGCACUUUAAGUUGGGAGGAAGGGCAGUAAGUUAAUACCUUGCUGUUUUGACGUUACCAACAGAAUAAGCACCGGCUAACUUCGUGCCAGCAGCCGCGGUAAUACGAAGGGUGCAAGCGUUAAUCGGAAUUACUGGGCGUAAAGCGCGCGUAGGUGGUUUGGUAAGAUGGAUGUGAAAUCCCCGGGCUCAACCUGGGAACUGCAUCCAUAACUGCCUGACUAGAGUACGGUAGAGGGUGGUGGAAUUUCCUGUGUAGCGGUGAAAUGCGUAGAUAUAGGAAGGAACACCAGUGGCGAAGGCGACCACCUGGACUGAUACUGACACUGAGGUGCGAAAGCGUGGGGAGCAAACAGGAUUAGAUACCCUGGUAGUCCACGCCGUAAACGAUGUCGACUAGCCGUUGGGAUCCUUGAGAUCUUAGUGGCGCAGCUAACGCGAUAAGUCGACCGCCUGGGGAGUACGGCCGCAAGGUUAAAACUCA
This 850-nucleotide ribosomal RNA is filed under the name Pseudomonas sp. RNAcentral's name for it is "bacterial SSU rRNA". It matches the Rfam family "Bacterial small subunit ribosomal RNA", at positions 58 to 903 of the family's 1533-position model. The record is from RNAcentral. Lineage: Bacteria; Pseudomonadati; Pseudomonadota; Gammaproteobacteria; Pseudomonadales; Pseudomonadaceae.